UGCUGCUUAUCAAAUCAAGACCAAUGCUUGAUGUAGACUGUGCAUAUACAUGUAUAGUAUAGUAAGUAAUAUGCCAAGUUCAUGGGAUGUGUGCUUCAGCAACUCUUAAUACUAGCUUUCCUUCUUUGCUUUACCUCCUUGCAUUAUUCACGGUACUUCGGGUACAUUCUUUGAACAUGUAUUUCUUGUUUUCCAUAUCGCAGAUACACACUCAACUUCUCACAGCAUUUACAGUAUUAUUUGAGCAAUAUGACCAUAACCCGCUCUCAAGUGUGUGCUAAACUAUUACAAACUGCGAGGGCGCUGUUACCAAAUGAAGUAGUUUUGGUCACAUUAUAAGUCCAGUCUUGUUAUAAAUGUCUGUGAGACCUCCCAAGUUAGCAGACACUUUUCUUUUUUGUUGUAUUGACAAGUGCAAUUGGCAGUUGGUCAUUUGUAUGCAUCUAGGUACAUGUAUUUUCACUUGGAGGGUAAAAAUGUUUGAAAUUUGGUUGAGGUGAAAUGUCUGAAAUUCGCACUGUUAUUGAAUUCCAGACAUUUCUUUGAAUGGGCAUUUAGGCCUCUGUACAAAUUUAAACAUUCUGUUGAAGAAAGAAGAGAUUUGAUACAUUCUGAGUUCAUGGUGUUUUACAUGGAUGAGUGGAUCCAUUUUCAAAUAAGGAGUUGCUUACCCAUACCUAUCAACCUGAUUCCAGGAAAACUUUGGUACAUUCUAUAAUUAGCUUAGAAAGAAUAUCUAAAAGAACAGCAAUUCCAAAAGCUGCAUUGCACACACUUCUCUAGUAUUCAGAACUGUACUUCUCUGUCGCAUUCUUCCUAAACAACUGCACAGACUCAUCAGUCUUGUCCAUAGUUCAAAGUAUAGUAUCCAUUUCAUCUCAGUGCUUUCUGUCAGGUAAACUUAAUAUCACAGCAUUCUAGUAAAUAGGGCAGAGUCCUAUUCAAGGAGCCUGGACUACAAAUGGACAUGAUUAUUCGUAUCAAAUGGCAAGACUGUGAUUUCAGUAUUGUUCGUUUGAUUGAACUCUUCCUCUAACAGUCAGGCACCACCUGCACCAUGGUUUUGUUGCAGUCUUUUUUAUCAACUCAAGACAAACGGCAGAGUUUUGUCGGAAACGAGACCAUUAUUCACAGCAAAGCGUAUAUCCUUUCAUUUGUUUUGUCAGGCUUUGUUUGGUCCCGUCAGAAGGAAGACUACAGGAACUGGAAAGCUGAAUGGAUCUGUUCUCUUGGGGCAUUCAAUUCACCAGAAAUUACAACUGUGUGUUAAAUGUCAGAGCUGUGAUGUGAUACACGUCUUUUCUCUGAGCACUGAAUGGCCAGAUUGUAGGCAAUGGCUCAAAAUAGCAGCAUGGCCAAGGUGAUGAGAGUCUUAUAAUACUUCCAUAUGUGUCUCCAUCAUGUGGCACAGCAGGCCAGGAGUGGUGAUUUCUUGUCAGGAUUUGGGGGGGGGGGAUGGACCUUCAGCUUGCAACAUUUUGAUCUAACUACAGGGGACAUUAUCACACAUUUUGUAUGCAAAGUGUAGAGUUAAAUUUAUGUGAAAUAUGUGAUCGCAUGGUAGGGAAAACGUUGGACGAUUGAGCAAACAUCGCUUAUGAGAAGUUGCCAUUGGCAUCCCCAAGGCAAAACAAAGUACAGAAAUCUGUUUUCCUGUGGCAAAUGACGUGCCAAAUUCUUUAAUUUUGUAACCAUACAGUCUGAGUCAACUCCUGUAUCUAUUAUUUGGAAGCUAGUUCAGAUACUAUCGUGUCUAAGUGGAUCCAUUGGAGUGGUAUACUACAUGCUCAGAAUCACGCAAAUUAGUCGCAUUUAUAAACCUUAUACAUGUAUCUAUACAUUCCUUAACUGCACAUCAAAUAUGUAUGUAGUUAGAAAACAUCUCUAUUUACAAAUGAAACAAUUUAAAUUACAAAGAAAUACACAAACUUCAAUAAAUGUACAUUUACAGUUAGAAUUGGUACAUGUUUUUCAUUCAAUGGAAUUGAACAGUUUUAUCUUUAAAUGUGUAGCAAAGAAAGUUAUUUAUUAUCCAAUAUGUCAAUUACUACAUUUAUGGUACCUUUCUAUUUUACCAAAUGGAAUCAAGUUAAAAUGAAUACUUUUUCUCUGAUCACUAACAAGAAUAUCUAGAGUCUGUUUUGUUUGUUGUAACAGUUGUAUUUACGUACAUGUGUUUAACAAGUACUGAUAUAAUAAAGAGUGAAAAGUAUUUUCUGCAAGAAUUUCAAUAUUUUUUUUUGAAUCCUAAUAAAUAGCACUCUGUUUGCAUGAAGCCAAGCCUGUGUGUUUUCAUUGGCCCCGUUCUUAUCAAAACUGUGCACUUACAGAUGAAUGGGCUAGACGCAUUUACAAUCUUAUCAAUUUAAACAAAAUGUUCAGUUUUUAUCUCCAGUACGUAUGGCUGAUAGUAAUAUCCACCAUGACUCCCCCACUUUACCAUGUUGUUUUCCCUUCCAGUACGUAUGGCUGAUAGUAAUAUCCACCAUGACUCCCCCACUUUACCAUGUUGUUUUCCCUUCCACAGUGGAGUGCUGUGGCCUAGUGGCUGGAGCAUUCAAUUUGUGGUCCGUGGGUAAUCCUGCAGGUUGUGGGUUUGAGUCCAGCCUGGGGUUAUGGUGCGUGUGCCCUUGGGCAAGGCACUUUGUCACCCAUUUCUUCUCUCCACCCAGGAGUAAAUGGGUACCUGUGAGGGCAGUGUUGGUGACUGUGAGAGGUUGAUUACGGCCAAGGGUGCUGAAAUGGCUGCCUACUGGCCAUGUAUGCUCCCUAGGGAGUCGAGAAGGUUUCAGGAGUGUUUGCUCGUUGAAACAGGGAAAA
RNAcentral lists this long non-coding RNA (2820 nucleotides) under Patiria miniata (bat star). RNAcentral's name for it is "uncharacterized LOC119723845". Lineage: Eukaryota; Metazoa; Echinodermata; Asteroidea; Valvatida; Asterinidae. The record is from RNAcentral.